UGGCUUACCUCCUCAUUUGUUGGUCAAGGCUUUUUAGCUUUAUCCAAUUGUGGGUUUCCUGUGUUGUGUACUGAUGUUAUGGUAUUAUCCUUGGUUGAUUUAUGUCCCUUUUCGUUGUGCCAAUCAUAUGGCAUAUGAUGAACGUGUUAGCUUGCUCUUUGAUUCACAGUGUUUAUGUGUGCAUUGAUGUUGUGGCUCAUUGAGCAUUGCUUGGUAUCAUGGAUACAGAACAUAUGUGGGCAUUGGAUCUUAAGGAUCUUUCUUUUGCUCUCAUUGAGUUGAUACGCUUCUAAAAAUGACUACUUGUAAUGUAUGGGCUUGUACCAGCAUGCGAGUUUUGUCAAUAAGGAAUGCUACCUGGUUGAUCCUGCCAGUAGUCAUAUGCUUGUCUCAAAGAUUAAGCCAUG
RNAcentral lists this unclassified non-coding RNA (407 nucleotides) under Helenium autumnale. RNAcentral describes it as "partial contains external transcribed spacer and 18S ribosomal RNA". The stretch from base 355 to 407 matches the Rfam family "Eukaryotic small subunit ribosomal RNA", at positions 1 to 53 of the family's 1831-position model. The record is from RNAcentral. Lineage: Eukaryota; Viridiplantae; Streptophyta; Magnoliopsida; Asterales; Asteraceae.